UACAGAGGGUGCGAGCGUUAAUCGGAAUUACUGGGCGUAAAGCGUGCGUAGACGGUAAUGUAAGUCAGAUGUGAAAGCCCCGGGCUCAACCUGGGAAUUGCAUUUGAGACUGCAUUGCUUGGGUGCGGAAGAGGGAAGCGGAAUUUCCGGUGUAGCGGUGAAAUGCGUAGAUAUCGGAAGGAACACCAGUGGCGAAGGCGGCCACCUGGACGAGCACUGACGCUGAGAAGCGAAAGCGUGGGGAGCAAACAGG
RNAcentral lists this ribosomal RNA (253 nucleotides) under uncultured bacterium. RNAcentral describes it as "partial 16S ribosomal RNA". It matches the Rfam family "Bacterial small subunit ribosomal RNA", at positions 524 to 776 of the family's 1533-position model. The record is from RNAcentral.